AUUGAACGCUGGCGGCAUGCCUUACACAUGCAAGUCGAACGGUAACGGGCCUUCGGGUGCCGACGAGUGGCGAACGGGUGAGUAAUACAUCGGAACGUGCCCGAUCGUGGGGGAUAACGAGGCGAAAGCUUUGCUAAUACCGCAUACGAGCUACGGAUGAAAGCAGGGGACCGCAAGGCCUUGCGCGGACUGAGCGGCCGAUGGCAGAUUAGGUAGUUGGUGGGAUAAAAGCUUACCAAGCCGACGAUCUGUAGCUGGUCUGAGAGGAUGAUCAGCCACACUGGGACUGAGACACGGCCCAGACUCCUACGGGAGGCAGCAGUGGGGAAUUUUGGACAAUGGGCGCAAGCCUGAUCCAGCCAUGCCGCGUGCAGGAUGAAGGCCUUCGGGUUGUAAACUGCUUUUGUACGGAACGAAAAGCAUUCUUUUAAUACAGGAGGGUCAUGACGGUACCGUAAGAAUAAGCACCGGCUAACUACGUG
RNAcentral lists this ribosomal RNA (482 nucleotides) under uncultured bacterium. Its description in RNAcentral is "partial 16S ribosomal RNA". It matches the Rfam family "Bacterial small subunit ribosomal RNA", at positions 30 to 507 of the family's 1533-position model. The record is from RNAcentral.